UAAGAGGAAAUUCAUCUGAUCAAUACUAUCCAGUCAUCUUGGGGGAUGAAAUAUACAUUUCAUCAACCCCCUAAAUCCAAUAGUAUUGGUCAAAUAAAAGUCAAAUCAACCAUGACCAAGGCCAAACAGAAAGUCAAACAUCACAAGGUCAAUUAAAUGACUCAAAAAUAUUUUUAAACAAUUAAACAAUUAAAAAUCUAUUUUAAAAUCAAUUAAAAGGAAUUUUUAAAUAGACAAGACCUCAAAUCCCUUCAAAU
RNAcentral lists this long non-coding RNA (257 nucleotides) under Lathyrus oleraceus (garden pea). RNAcentral describes it as "Pisum sativum (pea) long non-coding RNA (PSAT_LNC025223)". Lineage: Eukaryota; Viridiplantae; Streptophyta; Magnoliopsida; Fabales; Fabaceae. The record is from RNAcentral.